This 497-nucleotide ribosomal RNA is filed under the name uncultured bacterium. RNAcentral's name for it is "partial 16S ribosomal RNA". It matches the Rfam family "Bacterial small subunit ribosomal RNA", at positions 28 to 507 of the family's 1533-position model. The record is from RNAcentral.
GACGAACGCUGGCGGCGUGCCUAAUACAUGCAAGUUGAGCGCUGAAGGUUGGUACUUGUACCAACUGGAUGAGCAGCGAACGGGUGAGUAACGCGUGGGGAAUCUGCCUUUGAGCGGGGGACAACAUUUGGAAACGAAUGCUAAUACCGCAUAAAAACUUUAAACACAAGUUUUAAGUUUGAAAGAUGCAAUUGCAUCACUCAAAGAUGAUCCCGCGUUGUAUUAGCUAGUUGGUGAGGUAAAGGCUCACCAAGGCGAUGAUACAUAGCCGACCUGAGAGGGUGAUCGGCCACAUUGGGACUGAGACACGGCCCAAACUCCUACGGGAGGCAGCAGUAGGGAAUCUUCGGCAAUGGAAGAAAGGCGGACCGAGCAACGCCGCGUGAGUGAAGAAGGUUUUCGGAUCGUAAAACUCUGUUGGUAGAGAAGAACGUUGGUGAGAGUGGAAAGCUCAGCAAGUGACGGUAACUACCCAGAAAGGGACGGCUAACUACGUG